This 821-nucleotide ribosomal RNA is filed under the name uncultured bacterium. RNAcentral's name for it is "bacterial SSU rRNA". It matches the Rfam family "Bacterial small subunit ribosomal RNA", at positions 28 to 896 of the family's 1533-position model. The record is from RNAcentral.
AACGAACGCUGGCGGCAGGCCUAACACAUGCAAGUCGAACGAAGUCUUCGGACUUAGUGGCGCACGGGUGAGUAACACGUGGGAAUAUACCUUUCGCUGGGGGAUAACAUCGGGAAACUGAUGCUAAUACCGCAUACGCCCUUCGGGGGAAAGAUUUAUCGGCGAAAGAUUAGCCCGCGUCCGAUUAGCUAGUUGGUGAGGUAAUGGCUCACCAAGGCUCCGAUCGGUAGCUGGUCUGAGAGGAUGACCAGCCACACUGGGACUGAGACACGGCCCAGACUCCUACGGGAGGCAGCAGUGGGGAAUAUUGGACAAUGGGCGAAAGCCUGAUCCAGCCAUGCCGCGUGAGUGAUGAAGGCCUUAGGGUUGUAAAGCUCUUUCACCCACGACGAUGAUGACGGUAGUGGGAGAAGAAGCCCCGGCUAACUUCGUGCCAGCAGCCGCGGUAAUACGAAGGGGGCUAGCGUUGUUCGGAAUUACUGGGCGUAAAGCGCACGCAGGCGGUUCGGUCAGUCAGAAGUGAAAGCCCCGGGCUUAACCUGGGAACUGCUUUUGAUACUGCCGAGCUUGAAUCACGGAGAGGGUAGUGGAAUUCCGAGUGUAGAGGUGAAAUUCGUAGAUAUUCGGAAGAACACCAGUGGCGAAGGCGACUACCUGGCCGUCGAUUGACGCUCAUGUGCGAAAGCGUGGGGAGCAAGCAGGAUUAGAUACCCUGGUAGUCCACGCCGUAAACGAUGGGUGCUAGUUGUUGGGGUACAUGUACCUCAGUGACGCAGCUAACGCGUUAAGCACCCCGCCUGGGGAGUACGGCCGCAAGGUUA